AGAUGGAAAAAGAAGCAAUUCCUGCAUAAAUAAAUAGAGCAAUACAAGGUAAUAAAACACGAUGAAUGGCACUGCAUGAGAUUGGAGAUGGUAACAAUAAGUUCAUAGAUAAACCAAAAAUCCAACCAUGAAGAGGAAGAGAUAAAAAGUGAAGUGAAAAACUUCAUGUCAUCGACCAACCUAACCACAAAAUGAUCAGUAAUUCUGGAAAAUUCCAACUUGUUAGUAGCUAAAGAAGCUGUACAUCAAUAACAAAGGUGAUGUGCUGUACAUCAACCAGUAGCUGCGUCAUCGGGGCCUGGCGUCUGCACCCACGGCGUCCCCACUUCCUCUGUUGCUGGAGUGGAAGCGCUGUUCCAGCCACGGGGAGUCCCAGCUUCACUUUGACGGGCCUGGGGUCUGCGCCCAUGGUGUCCCGGCUUCCGUCUGUUGCAGGGUGGAAUCAUGUUCCAGCCGACGGGGCGUCCCAGUCCUUCACUUUGAUGUUGCAUGAGUGGAAUCACUUUGAGAGCCUGGCGUCCGUGCCCAUGUUGAUGGUGUCCCAGCUUCAUUGGAAUCACUGUUCCAGCCACGGGGCGUCCCAGCUUCACUACGAGGAGGACCACCACCACCACGGUCUUUGUUCCACCCAGGGCGCGAUUGUUGCUUUUUGAAGUACUUGGGCAUGAAAGAUUCCGCCUUGUCGGGGUACUUCUCCUUGAUGAAAUUGUUGAGGCACUUGAUGUAGGAGAAAUCUGAUUCCACGCCAUCAACAGAGACGGCAUAAAAGCACCUGCUGUCCUGGAACUCACUAUGCUUGCUAACCUGUGAGGUGAGUCCCAAGAGAUUAGCUUAUUUU
This 838-nucleotide long non-coding RNA is filed under the name Salvia miltiorrhiza (redroot sage). Its description in RNAcentral is "long non-coding RNA (SMIL_LNC004989)". The record is from RNAcentral. Lineage: Eukaryota; Viridiplantae; Streptophyta; Magnoliopsida; Lamiales; Lamiaceae.